Molecule: long non-coding RNA, 811 nt
Organism: Phascolarctos cinereus (koala)
Lineage: Eukaryota; Metazoa; Chordata; Mammalia; Diprotodontia; Phascolarctidae
Source: RefSeq, a predicted model, not a curated record
ACCUGUCUCUAACAGUCAUCAAGUGCAUAUAAAGGGAGGGUCCACGCCCAGGGUUGCCAAGCAGUGGGCAUCCUGCAAACUCUAAGUCUAUUCCUGAAAGUGUUCUCCUCCUAUGUCCAAGGACCAUGGUCUCCUUGGUGGUCCUCUCCAUCCUCAUCAUCUUGGUAGCAGGCCUGUGCUUUGAACCCAAGCAUGUUACCCUGGCAACUCCAAGACUCUAAGCAAGACCAGUGUUGAUCUACCUUGGUGGAGGGAAUUUCCAUACUAGGAUGCUUACACCCCAAUUGAAGGAUUCCAACCCAAAAGAUCAUUCUUCCAAUCAUUUUGCCUGUCUGUGAGACAUGUAACACUAAAGUCUCUGAAGAACUGAGACCUAAGGACAGUGGAGAGAUUCAUCCCCAAAUACUGAGGAGCCAUUUCUUCCUUUGAUGCCUUUCUCAGGAGUCAAAAGAAUCAUCUGAGGAUCACCUAGAUUCAGAAUGACCGUGUCUUCACUUUGCUCCUUCUCUUACACACAGACAUGACACCCCAAAGGACUGCUGCUUCCACUAUUCCUCUUGCAAGAUUCCCAGUGUAGUUGCUUGUUAUGAGACCAGCAGCUGGUGCCCCAAGCCAGGAGUCAUGGUCAUCACCAAGACACAGCGCCAGUUCUGUGUCCACCCAAGGAAUGUCACAAACUGUGGCAUUUCCCUACUACCAGAGAAAGUCCUAGAGAUGGAAAUCUUCUAGAAGAUUAUGGAAUACCAUUCUCAGAUAACACCUCCCUAUAUAUGCAUAUGAUUUCUCAAAAAUAAACUUACAUUGGACUUAA